CGGGAAACUGCAGGUAACACCGGAUACGCACGAGAGUGGAAAGUUUACGCCCUGGGAUGGGCCCGCGUCGGAUUAGGUAGUUGGUGGGGUAACGGCCUACCAAGCCUGCGAUCCGUAACCGGUCUGAGAGGAUGAUCGGUCACACUGGGACUGAGACACGGCCCAGACUCCUACGGGAGGCAGCAGUGGGGAAUCUUGGACAAUGGGGGCAACCCUGAUCCAGCGACGCCGCGUGGGUGAUGAAGGCCUUCGGGUCGUAAAGCCCUUUUGCCGGGGAAGAUGAUGACGGUACCCGGAGAAGAAGCACCGGCUAACUCUGUGCCAGCAGCCGCGGUAAGACAGAGGGUGCUAGCGUUGUUCGGAAUUACUGGGCGUAAAGGGCGCGUAGGCGGCUCGUUUAGUCGGGUGUGAAAUCCCGGGGCUCAACCCCGGAACUGCAUUCGAUACUGGCGGGCUAGAGACCGAGAGAGGUGGGUGGAAUACCCAGUGUAGAGGUGAAAUUCGUAGAUAUUGGGUGGAACACCGGUGGCGAAGGCGGCUCACUGGCUCGGUUCUGACGCUGAGGCGCGAAAGCGUGGGGAGCAAAUGGGAUUAGAUACC
Molecule: ribosomal RNA, 600 nt
Filed under: bacterium enrichment culture clone T44x_EXP-A010_T3-_E10
Lineage: Bacteria
Description: bacterial SSU rRNA
Rfam family: Bacterial small subunit ribosomal RNA
Source: RNAcentral